RNAcentral lists this transfer RNA (73 nucleotides) under Candidatus Roizmanbacteria bacterium CG03_land_8_20_14_0_80_39_12. Its description in RNAcentral is "tRNA-Ala". It matches the Rfam family "tRNA". Rfam says of the family: Transfer RNA (tRNA) molecules are approximately 80 nucleotides in length. Their secondary structure includes four short double-helical elements and three loops (D, anti-codon, and T loops). Further hydrogen bonds mediate the characteristic L-shaped molecular structure. tRNAs have two regions of fundamental functional importance: the anti-codon, which is responsible for specific mRNA codon recognition, and the 3' end, to which the tRNAs corresponding amino acid is attached (by aminoacyl-tRNA synthetases). tRNAs cope with the degeneracy of the genetic code in two manners: having more than one tRNA (with a specific anti-codon) for a particular amino acid; and 'wobble' base-pairing, i.e. permitting non-standard base-pairing at the 3rd anti-codon position. Lineage: Bacteria; Candidatus Roizmaniibacteriota. The record is from RNAcentral.
GGGCCGGUAGCAUAAUUGGUAGUGCACCGCAUUCGCAUUGCGGAGGUUGAGAGUUCAAGUCUCUUCCGGUCCA